Molecule: small nucleolar RNA, 168 nt
Organism: Impatiens glandulifera
Lineage: Eukaryota; Viridiplantae; Streptophyta; Magnoliopsida; Ericales; Balsaminaceae
Product: small nucleolar RNA snoR143
Exons: 1
Source: RefSeq, a predicted model, not a curated record
CUGUAUCAUUUGAUGAGAGACUUCUUUUGUUGAUAAGGGGUUUCUUCUUGUAAUGGAAUGCAUAAAUGAAAUGUUGAUUAAUCAGCGGCGGCCAGACAACCGUUGAGAUGAAUCCACAGAUUGAAACCCUAAUCUUCGUUUCUGUCUACUUAUUUUAUCAUUACUUUC